RNA transcript from Momordica charantia (bitter melon), 2124 nucleotides. It is a transcript of the gene named 10 kDa chaperonin 1, chloroplastic, with no coding region annotated. The record is from RefSeq and is a predicted model, not a curated record. Lineage: Eukaryota; Viridiplantae; Streptophyta; Magnoliopsida; Cucurbitales; Cucurbitaceae.
UCUCAUUUUCGAAUUUUCUAUUUGGAUACCAACAUUUCGAACGCCUCCUAUUACCAUUUGAACUUUUUGUAUAAAUUUCUCUCGUUAGAGUUCAGAACGCUCUAGAAUUUCUCUUCCCUCGCGAAAUCGUUUCUCCCGCGCACCCCGCUCUACUCCGUAGAUUUUUGCUUUCUCGACUCAUUUCCAUGGCGAUGGCGUCUUCGUUCGUUACUGUGCCGAAGCCCUUUGUCGACAGGGCUAAUUCACCUUCUGUUUCUUCAUGGCGGCAAAAAGCUGGAUUGCAGAGAAGCUCUUUGAAAGUCAGCGCAGUUUCUAAGAAAUAUAAGCCUGCGAAGGUGGUUCCUCAAGCUGACAGAGUCCUCGUUCGUCUUGAGGAGCUUGCUGAGAAAUCGGCUGGUGGAGUUUUGCUACCCAAAUCAGCUGUCAAAUUUGAGCGACAUCUUGUGGGAGAGAUUAUCUCCAUUGGAACAGAAGUUGGAGGAAAUGAUAUUGCACCUGGAAAGAAGGUUCUUAUAUCAGACAUCAAUGCUUAUGAGGUAAGUCGUUUGGUUUGGUGGUGUACAUURUUGGCUUGAAUAUUCUCUCAAUUAUAUUUGGUUCAAUACUCCUUCAAAGUAUUGGUUACAAAAUUAUCCAUAGYCCUGGGACAGUGUCUCGAUCUCCUACGUGUGUGCUAUCAUCGAGAACGGGGGAUUGUAGAAGACUUAGGUUAGUUUAUGCGAGUCUUCCUAGAAUUAGUUUGGGUUUGAACCAAAUUAACUCAAACUUAUUAUUAAUUAAAAAUAUCUUACUUAUGAUGUCAUUACCUGUGCAUACAUUUUAAUUUAUUUUCAUUUUAUUCAAUAAUUCUCUUUUGAUCUUUCACCCAACAACUUUAAGAAAAUGGUGUUGUAGGUCUCUUGGAGUAUAGUUUUUCAUGAAAUAAAAUUUGACAAUAGACUACUAAUUUAAACUCAACGUUUGAAAAUCAGUAAUCGGAUAUCUAAGGGACUGACAUUUUCACUAUUUCUCCUUACAAAAUUUUGAACAAAUGACCCGGAAAAUAGCACGUUUUUUAUUCUUUGAAAGUCCUAAAAAGAUGGUCGCAAUUUCUAAUGCUUAACAUUUUGCCUAUGAGCUAGUUGUCUUGGGAUGUUAAUUAUUUCACCAAAUACUGCCAUUCUUACUGUAAAGUUAAACUGAUUGAUGCAGAAUUCCCAUUAGUGACUCAUUAGACAAAAAAAGUAGCAGGACUCUAAUUCCAGGGCCAUAAGUAGUAAAUAUGUUUUUAGGGGAAAUGUUUGUUAAGCUGCCUAAUCUUUUGGCAAUGCAUCCUUCGAACCUUUAUCUUCUAACUUGUAUCAUGUAUGUUAGCUAAUCGCUAUCACUCAUGUCAUGAAGUAACUCAUGUUCAUUUGUUUCUUUCUAUAGAUUUUUUUCUUCGGUUAUUGAAUCGCAGGAUUAAAUGAUGGCAGAUACUUAAUCCUGCAAGUUUUUCAGUGUUACAUAUUGCAAGGUCUGAGUGAUUAUCACAUGUGCCUAGUCAAGAUGCGUGUACCUAGAUACGCAUAAAAAGAAAAACUGUUUGCAAUUAGAGUGAUAUAACUAAUGUACGUUGUUACAAUGCUGUAAGUCAUGAUCCUGAAUAGCAAAGUGAUCGGGAUCGGGAUCGGGAUCGGGUUUGCCCAUGCAUGAUGGAAUCAUUGCUUUGUUUAAUUUGUUGGUGGAUUUGGGCACAGAUGCUAAGCACUGCUUCUGUAAAGCUGGUGAUUUGUUAGCUGUGGUUGAGUAGAGAAGCUUUACAAUUUCUCCAACGCUACAAAAUUCAGAUCAACAUCACUUAUUCCACUCAGAUUAGUUCUCUCUUUCCUCAUUGAUUUUCAAUUGCUUUUUUACUUUUGAAGUAUAUCAUGUCUUUAUACUUUUAUUUAAGAAUUACCCAUCAUUGUAAAGUUUCCUCAAAAAAAAAAAGAAAAAAGUGAGACUUGUAAAGAACUCAUUAGGAAGAAUAGCUUAAAUUAAAAAGAAUUAGUCAACCUAAAUAGUAAACUAAAGGAAAAUAGGUAUGCAAAUAAAUCUUUAAUUUUUUCUUUUUUGUUCAAGAAAAUAUAUAAUAUUUUUUUAGGAAAGUAAUUUCCAAAUAUG